RNAcentral lists this ribosomal RNA (373 nucleotides) under uncultured bacterium. Its description in RNAcentral is "bacterial SSU rRNA". It matches the Rfam family "Bacterial small subunit ribosomal RNA", at positions 527 to 898 of the family's 1533-position model. The record is from RNAcentral.
GUAGGGACCAAGCGUUGUUCGGAUUUACUGGGCGUAAAGGGCGCGUAGGCGGCGCGGUAAGUCACUUGUGAAAUCUCUGAGCUUAACUCAGAACGGCCAAGUGAUACUGCGGUGCUAGAGUGCAGAAGGGGCAAUCGGAAUUCUUGGUGUAGCGGUGAAAUGCGUAGAUAUCAAGAGGAACACCUGAGGUGAAGACGGGUUGCUGGGCUGACACUGACGCUGAUGCGCGAAAGCCAGGGGAGCAAACGGGAUUAGAUACCCCGGUAGUCCUGGCCCUAAACGAUGAAUACUUGGUGUCUGGAGUUUUAAUGCUCCGGGUGCCGUCGCUAACGUUUUUAGUAUUCCGCCUGGGGAGUACGCUCGCAAGAGUGAA